AGAGUUUGAUCAUGGCUCAGAUUGAACGCUGGCGGUAUGCUUAACACAUGCAAGUCGAACGGAAACGAUGUUAGCUUGCUAACAGGCGUCGAGUGGCGGACGGGUGAGUAACGCGUAGGAAUCUACCAAGUAGUGGGGGAUAGCCCGGAGAAAUCCGGAUUAAUACCGCAUAAUCUCUACGGAGUAAAGAGGGCCUCUAUUUAUAAGCUUUCGCUAUUUGAUGAGCCUGCGUAAGAUUAGCUUGUUGGUGAGGUAAAAGCUCACCAAGGCAACGAUCUUUAGCUGGUCUGAGAGGAUGAUCAGCCACACUGGGACUGAGACACGGCCCAGACUCCUACGGGAGGCAGCAGUGGGGAAUAUUGGACAAUGGGCGCAAGCCUGAUCCAGCAAUACCGCGUGUGUGAAGAAGGCCUGAGGGUUGUAAAGCACUUUCAAUUGUGAAGAAAAGCUAAAGAUUAAUACU
RNAcentral lists this ribosomal RNA (463 nucleotides) under uncultured marine bacterium. RNAcentral's name for it is "bacterial SSU rRNA". It matches the Rfam family "Bacterial small subunit ribosomal RNA", at positions 8 to 465 of the family's 1533-position model. The record is from RNAcentral.